Hyaena hyaena (striped hyena) is the source of this 1284-nucleotide long non-coding RNA. RefSeq lists it as uncharacterized. The transcript has 5 exons. The record is from RefSeq and is a predicted model, not a curated record. NCBI's taxonomy places the organism in Eukaryota, Metazoa, Chordata, Mammalia, Carnivora, Hyaenidae.
GCUGAGCUGCUGCCUGAGGAUAACUCGGUUCCGACCUAUGUUUGUGACCGCCCAGACUAACUUGAAGGAAGGCUUUUAUUCUGUAGAAUUCCUUAUUAUUCGUGUUUUCCUACACCGACGCGAGGAAUCAUCGAGCACAAUAAAAAUGGCGGCAGCCGCUUUACCAUGGUAACAGAAUCCAGAAGGUUCAAGAUUAUUCACCUGCUUAAGGGCUGCCUUAUGACCUACAUUGCUUGGUAGUGGGCCAGGGAGUUAGGUGGUCAGCUGAACUGGAGGAAGAUUUUCCUUGUUCUUGGCAAUGGCAUGGUAACCUCUUGCUGCUGAAUGAGGACUGCUUCCAAACCAAGCAUUGAGGAAAGCUGGGAAUAUUUUUGAUGGGAUCCAGUACGUGUUCUCCUUUGAGAUUGCCGAGAAGCUGCAAGUGGCAUCACUGCCUGGUACUGGAGAAGCAUGUGGGUAUCUCUGUUUCAUGCUGUGUUCUCUUCCCCCAUGGUUGUGAUUGGAAUCUUCAUACUAUACCUGCUCUGAGAAAAGAAAUCUAGAGAUAAAUGGAGUAGAAGAUUGAUGCCAAAUAUACUUUGAGAGUAACAGAAAGGAUACACAACCAGAAAAGCGAAUUUGGAAAAUCUAGGUAGUCAUUUUCUCUCUUGCUUUGCUAUAGAUAUGUCCCAUUUGAUAGUGCUGCUGUUCCUCUUUUCAUUUCUUUAUGCCUCUUGUAGCAGAAACUGUUGCACAUCACUGACAGGGUAAUUCUGGGGCUGGUCCUUAGCCCUGAAGAAGGCUGGUUCAUAGUUUGUUAAAUGUUAUAUCAGGACUGGGGGCAUAUUGCAUGUUCACCCAGAUGUGGGGUCUUUCCUGGGAAAGAAUCUCAAUCUUCCUGGAAGCGUGGAAAUAGAGCACUGUCAUUAUCCUUAGCAAAUUAUCAAUGGCCAGUAGAAAUACAAAGCUACCAGAGUUUCUGUGAGGAAAUCUGGAAAGUAACCAAGCUAGAGUGGCAAAGGUGGGCUCAAUCUGUAAAGAAAUCACUUUGCCAAUCUUCAUCCAAGUGCGCACUAAACUAUGGAAGACACAGAUCCUGCAUAUUCAGCGGUAAAAUCCUGUGCUGUCCAUGUAUAUCACAUAGUCCUGGAUCUGAACUGUGUGAGCAGGGAAUCUACCUAUAUCCUUUAGUUGACUAGAGAAGGUAAGUCCUGGGGCACAUGGGUUUCAUGUGUGAAUGAGCUUCCAUAGUUGAUGCCUUUAUUUUUUUAAGUUUAUUUUGGGAGAGAAAGUCUGCGCAAAUGG